Oncorhynchus tshawytscha (Chinook salmon) is the source of this 1010-nucleotide long non-coding RNA. RefSeq lists it as uncharacterized. The transcript is spliced from 3 exons. NCBI's taxonomy places the organism in Eukaryota, Metazoa, Chordata, Actinopteri, Salmoniformes, Salmonidae. The record is from RefSeq and is a predicted model, not a curated record.
GUGAACUUUGCCAAUCACAAAGCAAAAUGUCAUUGACAGAAAAAAAACAGAAUUUUGCAUCUUGUUGUUUUGUUGCCCUCUGGUGGCUGGCUGGCUCACUAGCUAAAACUGUCCCUUUCCUAAAUUAGCUAUGGGUGGAGAUAGGGAUCUGGGCGUGGUUUUACUUAAUUCUCCGUACUGGAAAAGGAUUAUAACAUUAAUUCAUGCAUGGGCCUCUUGCCUGAGAGGAAGUUCAAUAUGUAUCUAGAUGUAGUAAGCUAAUGUUAACUAGAAAACUUUGCCCAUGAAAGGAAGUUAGGCUAGCGAGCAAGCAUUUUAGCCAGGUAGCCUAGCACAACAACAAGUAAAAGCGUGUACUGUGUAACAGAGACGUAGAAUGUUUCGUCACCAUAAAAGAGAGGAGGAUGGCGUUGGCGUUUCUCUAAAAGCAGGUGGCCAUACCAUAUGCUCAUUAUGAGCUCCCUGGAUGCUCCAUCCCUGGUGCAGUGGUGCCUGGCGGUUCAGAGGGAAGGCUGGGGAGAGAUGCCCCCUUAAGAUAAAUGCUCUUGAACGUACCAUCGCUCUUCUGAGGAGAAGCAGGCGCCUCAUUGGCCGAGUUCAGAGGUCAGUUCCUAUGGUAUCUAUGCGACCAAUCCACUGUCUUGCUCUCUCUAGGAGCGUUACAUCACUUAGCAUUAUGUGACUUUGCAGUAGACUCACUCAAUCCAUUACGUCUGACAAGCCGCGCUCAAGAUGAAGUACUGUUCUGCAGCCAACCUCUCCAUGAUGCCUCUUUUAUGGGGUUUUAAAGGGUGAUGUCCCUGCGUGGUCAUUGUUUGCAAGCUUAUGUAGAAAUAUAUUGGCUGUAACAAAUAAAGACGAAUAACCUGUCUUCCUGUUUCUAUUAUUGUCCUCCUCCUUCCCACUGAAUUUUUAACAGGGCUGUAUUCAAGACGGGCACUGACUAUGUGAACUGGUUACCAACCACAUAGCAAUGGAGCUGAAUGACUAAUUAGUAGAUCUCUAGUAGA